AUUGAACGCUGGCGGCAGGCCUAACACAUGCAAGUCGAGCGGAUGAAGGGAGCUUGCUCCUGGAUUCAGCGGCGGACGGGUGAGUAAUGCCUAGGAAUCUGCCUGGUAGUGGGGGAUAACGUCCGGAAACGGGCGCUAAUACCGCAUACGUCCUGAGGGAGAAAGUGGGGGAUCUUCGGACCUCACGCUAUCAGAUGAGCCUAGGUCGGAUUAGCUAGUUGGUGGGGUAAAGGCCUACCAAGGCGACGAUCCGUAACUGGUCUGAGAGGAUGAUCAGUCACACUGGAACUGAGACACGGUCCAGACUCCUACGGGAGGCAGCAGUGGGGAAUAUUGGACAAUGGGCGAAAGCCUGAUCCAGCCAUGCCGCGUGUGUGAAGAAGGUCUUCGGAUUGUAAAGCACUUUAAGUUGGGAGGAAGGGCAGUAAGUUAAUACCUUGCUGUUUUGACGUUACCAACAGAAUAAGCACCGGCCAACUUCGU
RNAcentral lists this ribosomal RNA (483 nucleotides) under uncultured bacterium. RNAcentral's name for it is "partial 16S ribosomal RNA". It matches the Rfam family "Bacterial small subunit ribosomal RNA", at positions 30 to 506 of the family's 1533-position model. The record is from RNAcentral.